UGAGGAAUAUUGGUCAAUGGACGCAAGUCUGAACCAGCCAAGUAGCGUGCAGGAUGACGGCCCUAUGGGUUGUAAACUGCUUUUAUAUGGGGAUAAAGUGGGGAACGUGUUCCCUUUUGCAGGUACCAUAUGAAUAAGGACCGGCUAAUUCCGUGCCAGCAGCCGCGGUAAUACGGAAGGUUCGGGCGUUAUCCGGAUUUAUUGGGUUUAAAGGGAGCGUAGGCCGGUUGGUAAGCGUGUUGUGAAAUGUAGGAGCUCAACUUCUAGAUUGCAGCGCGAACUGUCAGACUUGAGUGCGCACAACGUAGGCGGAAUUCAUGGUGUGGCGAUGAAAUGCUUAGAUAUCAUGAAGAACUCCGAUUGCGAAGGCAGCUUACGGGAGCGCAACUGACGCUGAAGCUCGAAGGUGCGGGUAUCGAACAGG
Molecule: ribosomal RNA, 424 nt
Filed under: Verrucomicrobiota bacterium
Lineage: Bacteria; Pseudomonadati; Verrucomicrobiota
Description: Verrucomicrobia bacterium partial 16S ribosomal RNA
Rfam family: Bacterial small subunit ribosomal RNA
Source: RNAcentral